This is a long non-coding RNA of Pyrus x bretschneideri (Chinese white pear), 280 nucleotides long. RefSeq lists it as uncharacterized. The record is from RefSeq and is a predicted model, not a curated record. The transcript is spliced from 3 exons. Lineage: Eukaryota; Viridiplantae; Streptophyta; Magnoliopsida; Rosales; Rosaceae.
AAUGUGGUCCAACCAGUGGCUGAUAAAAUGUCAUUGUAUAUAUGCUUUUGUCGAUUUCUGCUACGAUAAUGAGGGAAUCCAGAGGAUCGAGGCCAUUCGAUCUGAGGUACCAAUCUUCUUAAUGAAGAUUAGAGCAAUCAAAUGGAGCUUCACAGGAUAAGUUUGUGAGGGUUAUACAGAACUCAGUUGGUGCAAACCUUGCUGCAGAUGUAUGGAGUCUUGGGUGCAUUGUCUUGGACAUAGCUACGACAAAAACCACCUUGGAGCCAGUAUAAAGGGG